This 228-nucleotide ribosomal RNA is filed under the name uncultured soil bacterium. Its description in RNAcentral is "partial 16S ribosomal RNA". It matches the Rfam family "Bacterial small subunit ribosomal RNA", at positions 26 to 267 of the family's 1533-position model. The record is from RNAcentral.
AGAUUGAACGCUGGCGGCAUGCCUAACACAUGCAAGUCGAACGGGAGUAGCAAUACUCUAGUGGCGGACGGGUGAGGAAUACGUAGGAAUUUGCCCUUAAGUGGGGGAUAACCCGGGGAACCCGGAUUAAUACCGCAUGACCUCGAAAGAGCAAAGUGGGGGAUCGCAAGACCUCACGCUUUUGGAGAAGCCUACGUCGGAUUAGCUAGUUGGUGAGGUAAUGGCUCA